Molecule: long non-coding RNA, 1497 nt
Organism: Phyllostomus hastatus (greater spear-nosed bat)
Lineage: Eukaryota; Metazoa; Chordata; Mammalia; Chiroptera; Phyllostomidae
Exons: 3
Source: RefSeq, a predicted model, not a curated record
CCUGGGCCGGAGCCUGCGGAGGGGAGGGCCUCACUCAGAGACAGGGGCAGAGACAAGUGACAGAGGCUGGGUGUCACCAAGCGGAGGCCUGCACUUUGAUUUUCUUCUCAGGGGGACUGGACAGCACUGAAAGGAAGCUCCUGGCACGUAGCCUGGGUCAUCCGGUGUCUGCCCUCCAUCCCUGACCAUCUGGGGGCUCCCUCCCUGCCCUUGGCCCCGGCCUCGGCCCCCAUCCCCAAGCCCUGCCUGUUCUCCAGCACCUGGGCUCCGGCUUUGACGGACAUCCUUGGUUUUCCAUGCCCACCUGGGAGAUGGUACCCAGGUGGCAGCUCCGAAGGCCUGUGGUUGUGACAUGGAGCAGACACCUUACCUGAUAGCAGGCGAGAAAGCAGUGAACGCCUUGACCAAUGAAUGUCUUUUUGGACCCGUGCACUCCGAAGUGAUUCCCAUUGGUGAUUUGCUGACUCGCCGCCAACGCGUUAAUGAUUUCGAUAAUAGUCAUUUCUCUCUCUCCCGGGGGGCUGUUGGAACGAAUCCACCAGCGGAGUGGGAGUUGGCCAUUCACUCCAAACAUCUCAUUAACACUGGAUGUCCGCAUUUUACAACUAGUUUCCAUGUGACAGUGUGAAUUGGUCCAGCCGCUUGGGAGAACCACUGGGCACCGUCUCCUAAAGCUGGGCAUGGACUCUGUGAAGACCCAGCCCUCCCACUCUUGGGAAUGCAGCCCGCAGACAGACAGACAGACAGAUGUUCACCGAAAAGCCGGAACCAGAAUUUCAGAGCAGGCCUACUGCCAACGAUAACCCCCGACCGGAGCCAACCCAGGUGCCCGCCAACAGGAAAACGGGUCAGUACGUUGCAGUAGACUCACACGUGGGAAUGUUGCGCAGCCGUGGGGACCAAGGCACUUUCGCACCAUGAAGUGGGUGAAUCUCAAAAGCUGGGUUAGGCGAAGGAAUCCAGGCACUGGAAGAACAGCUUGGGCCCCGACCGGGGUAGCUCAGACGGCUAGAGCUUCGUCCGGGUUUCAGGGUCGGUACCCAGUCGGGGCACAUACGAGAAUACGCCAGUGAAUGCGUAAGGACGUAGCACCACAGCCCUCUCUCUCUCUUCCCCUCUCUCUCUAAAAUCACGCAAUCAGUUAAUAAAGUACAGCCUGUAUAAUUCCAACUUAAUGUUGUUGGACAAGGGGAGAAACUCACUGACAGUGGUUAAGGAUGCUUACUCAGACGGCAAGGGGGAAAAGACAGAAAGGGUCACUAGGACAUCCAGGUGCCGGCUAUUACCUCUGGAAGAGGGAGGGGCUUUGGUGGGAGGGACAGUGAGGAGUCUCCAGGACCUGGAGGUGUGCUAGUCUUGGUCCUGAGUGAUGGCUAUAAGGACGUUUGUUAUUGCAAUAAUGUGUUAAGUUAUACACGUACAUUUUAGGCACUCUUCUGUGUGUGGCACGCUUCACAAUGAAAGUAUUUGAAUAAAAGAAUAAACGGAUACAGCAGA